GAGCUUGCUCCUGAAUUCAGCGGCGGACGGGUGAGUAAUGCCUAGGAAUCUGCCUGGUAGUGGGGGACAACGUUUCGAAAGGAACGCUAAUACCGCAUACGUCCUACGGGAGAAAGCAGGGGACCUUCGGGCCUUGCGCUAUCAGAUGAGCCUAGGUCGGAUUAGCUAGUUGGUGAGGUAAUGGCUCACCAAGGCGACGAUCCGUAACUGGUCUGAGAGGAUGAUCAGUCACACUGGAACUGAGACACGGUCCAGACUCCUACGGGAGGCAGCAGUGGGGAAUAUUGGACAAUGGGCGAAAGCCUGAUCCAGCCAUGCCGCGUGUGUGAAGAAGGUCUUCGGAUUGUAAAGCACUUUAAGUUGGGAGGAAGGGCAGUAAAUUAAUACUUUGCUGUUUUGACGUUACCGACAGAAUAAGCACCGGCUAACUCUGUGCCAGCAGCCGCGGUAAUACAGAGGGUGCAAGCGUUAAUCGGAAUUACUGGGCGUAAAGCGCGCG
This 499-nucleotide ribosomal RNA is filed under the name Pseudomonas sp. Its description in RNAcentral is "bacterial SSU rRNA". It matches the Rfam family "Bacterial small subunit ribosomal RNA", at positions 76 to 571 of the family's 1533-position model. The record is from RNAcentral. Lineage: Bacteria; Pseudomonadati; Pseudomonadota; Gammaproteobacteria; Pseudomonadales; Pseudomonadaceae.